Molecule: long non-coding RNA, 815 nt
Filed under: Homo sapiens (human)
Lineage: Eukaryota; Metazoa; Chordata; Mammalia; Primates; Hominidae
Description: HSALNT0205971
Source: RNAcentral
CAGGAUUUUAAAAUUUGUAUUUUGCUGUCAUCCGUAACAUUACUUGUAAAAAAAAAAAAAGUGAUAAUGAUUAGAAUGUGAUCUUUUUCUUUGGGGAUACAAUAAAAUAUGUUUCCAACUUAAUUCAUUUGCAGUCCAAGUAAAAGUAGACUGCACAAAGCCGUUAUUGGGGAGAUGGCCGUGGGAAGUAAUCAGAAAUAUUCUGAAAAGAGUUGAUUCGAUAGUGCCAUUCACAUUGGUGUGAACGAUGUUUAACAGGGGGCUUCGGUAUGAGACUUAGGAAUGUCAUUUCUUUUAUAAAACUGACAAGCAAACAAAGACAAUGCUACCAUCAAAUUUCAAAUGGACUUUUUCUUUAAGUUGCAAUGAAGUUCAAAUAUGGGGAAUUAAAGGCAUGUGUGGAAACACAACGAAAAAAUUUUAAUAAACAGCAGUAACAAAAUCUUCAUCUCACUUUGGAAACGACGAGUCCUUUCACAAUUUUUAUGUCAAAGACUUAAAACAUUUCAAGCCAACCAGGCAAAGGUUGAUCGAGAGCUGUGCCAUCUCUAUGGAUAGUUUAUGGAGAAAGCAUCAUAUUUGGAAUUAUCACUGUCAUCGUUUCCUCUCUGAACAUUUCCAAUGAGUUUCCUUUAUUUGAAUUUCUUGGCAAUAAGCAUUAAUUCUUGCAGUAAUGGCAGCUUUGGGUUCAAUCCUGCAGGUUAUAAGUAAAAACAAAACAAAACAAAAUGAAUAAAGAAAGAAGAAAAUAAACACAAGCUAGCCUUUAAUAUGGACUGUUGAGCAUUUUUAUUGUGCAAUAAAAUGGGUACCUC